Molecule: ribosomal RNA, 406 nt
Filed under: uncultured bacterium
Lineage: Bacteria
Description: partial 16S ribosomal RNA
Rfam family: Bacterial small subunit ribosomal RNA
Source: RNAcentral
AUUGAACGCUGGCGGCAGGCCUAACACAUGCAAGUCGAGCGAGUGGCGGACGGGUGAGUAAUGUCUGGGAAACUGCCUGAUGGAGGGGGAUAACUACUGGAAACGGUAGCUAAUACCGCAUACCAUCGGAUGUGCCCCGGUGGGAUUAGCUAGUAGGUGGGGUAAAGGCUCACCUAGGCGACGAUCCCUAGCUGGUCUGAGAGGAUGACCAGCCACACUGGAACUGAGACACGGUCCAGACUCCUACGGGAGGCAGCAGUGGGGAAUAUUGCACAAUGGGCGCAAGCCUGAUGCAGCCACGCCGCGUGUAUGAAGAAGGUCUUCGGGUUGUAAAGUACUUUUAGCGGGGAGGCGUUACCCGAAGAAGAAGCACCGGCUAACUCCGUGCCAGCAGCCGCGGUAAUUC